This is a non-coding RNA of Mauremys reevesii (Reeves's turtle), 70 nucleotides long. The record is from the annotation of a RefSeq genome assembly. NCBI's taxonomy places the organism in Eukaryota, Metazoa, Chordata, Testudines, Geoemydidae.
GCUGCGAUGGCCGAGUGGUUAAGGCGUUGGACUUGAAAUCCCUGCGCAGGUUCGAAUCCUGCUCGCAGCG